This 252-nucleotide ribosomal RNA is filed under the name uncultured bacterium. Its description in RNAcentral is "partial 16S ribosomal RNA". It matches the Rfam family "Bacterial small subunit ribosomal RNA", at positions 524 to 776 of the family's 1533-position model. The record is from RNAcentral.
UACGUAGGUGGCGAGCGUUAUCCGGAUUUAUUGGGUUUAAAGGGUGCGUAGGCGGAUCGUUAAGUCAGUGGUCAAAUUGAGGGGCUCAACCCCUUCCCGCCAUUGAAACUGGCGAUCUUGAGUGGAAGAGAAGUAUGCGGAAUGCGUGGUGUAGCGGUGAAAUGCAUAGAUAUCACGCAGAACCCCGAUUGCGAAGGCAGCAUGCCGGCUUCCGACUGACGCUGAAGCACGAAAGCGUGGGGAUCGAACAGG